AGAAAUAGAUAUACUACAGUUUAAAAUAGUAUAUUUUAAUUUCAUUAUUAAAGUAUAGAUGUUAUAUAUAAAGUAAAUAAGAUAUUAAAUAAUUAUAAACUAAAGUAAAUAAAAUAUUGAGCGAUUAUUAAAAAGAUAUAUAUAUA
RNAcentral lists this unclassified non-coding RNA (146 nucleotides) under Clostridioides difficile T19. Lineage: Bacteria; Bacillati; Bacillota; Clostridia; Peptostreptococcales; Peptostreptococcaceae. RNAcentral also lists the same sequence under 1 other name. The record is from RNAcentral.